AACGCGAAGAACCUUACCUACCCUUGACAUACAGAGAAUCCUGCAGAGAUGUGGGAGUGCCGAAAGGAGCUCUGAUACAGGUGCUGCAUGGCUGUCGUCAGCUCGUGUCGUGAGAUGUUGGGUUAAGUCCCGUAACGAGCGCAACCCCUAUUAUUAAUUGCUAGCAGGUAAAGCUGUGCACUUUAAUAAGACUGCUGGUGACAAACCAGAGGAAGGCGGGGACGACGUCAAGUCAUCAUGGCCCUUACGGGUAGGGCUACACACGUGCUACAAUGGGCGAUACAGAGGGUCGCGAAGUCGCGAGACGGAGCCAAUCUCACAAAGUCGCUCGUAGUCCGGAUUGCAGUCUGAAACUCGACUGCAUGAAGCUGGAAUCGCUAGUAAUCGCAAAUCAGAAUGUUGCGGUGAAUACGUUCCCGGCUUGUUACACACCGCUCGUC
This 440-nucleotide ribosomal RNA is filed under the name uncultured bacterium. Its description in RNAcentral is "bacterial SSU rRNA". It matches the Rfam family "Bacterial small subunit ribosomal RNA", at positions 958 to 1398 of the family's 1533-position model. The record is from RNAcentral.